Molecule: transfer RNA, 110 nt
Filed under: Phaeomoniella chlamydospora
Lineage: Eukaryota; Fungi; Ascomycota; Eurotiomycetes; Phaeomoniellales; Phaeomoniellaceae
Rfam family: tRNA
About the family: Transfer RNA (tRNA) molecules are approximately 80 nucleotides in length. Their secondary structure includes four short double-helical elements and three loops (D, anti-codon, and T loops). Further hydrogen bonds mediate the characteristic L-shaped molecular structure. tRNAs have two regions of fundamental functional importance: the anti-codon, which is responsible for specific mRNA codon recognition, and the 3' end, to which the tRNAs corresponding amino acid is attached (by aminoacyl-tRNA synthetases). tRNAs cope with the degeneracy of the genetic code in two manners: having more than one tRNA (with a specific anti-codon) for a particular amino acid; and 'wobble' base-pairing, i.e. permitting non-standard base-pairing at the 3rd anti-codon position.
Source: Rfam by way of RNAcentral
GGCAAGAUGGCCGAGUGGUCUAAGGCGCUGUGUUUAGGUUAUGAGCAUUCGCUUGAACCGUUAAUUUGAUCCGCAGUCUUCGGGCGUGGGUUCGAAUCCCACUCUUGUCA